AUGUCUGGGCUGGCAUCCUGGAAGUAGAAGGACAUCAUGGCCCACAGCCGCACCAAGAACACCAUCGCCCACUUGAGAGCCAGCUCAGCCGUAGAUCCACAACAGAUCCCCAUCACCAUUCCCAGCACCAAUCCAGAUCCUAUUGGCCAGUCCCAGCACCAGACGAGAUGCGAAGGAGGGACCAAACACCAAACCUUCACCCGGAGCAAGCGGACCACAGGGGAGUGCCACAAUUGACCUCCAGGUCUAGGGCUCCCUUGCGUGGCUGCUUGGUCCUCAGGUUGUCUUUCCUCCCCUUUGCAGGCCCAGCACCAGUCCCAGAACCAAUCCAGAUCCCAGUUUCCAGCACCAGUCCCAGCACUAGACCACCUGAUGAGGUUCGGAGGAGAUCCUGACCCAGCUCCCGGUUCCUGUUCUCCCCCAGCACCAGACCCAGCACCAACCCAUGGUUUUCCAGCCCAUGUACCAGCACGAUCUCCAACCUGGCCCCAACACCAACCCAAGUUUCCUGGUACCAGCCCCAACACUAGCACAAACCCCGGACACUGCACCGUCCUACAACUACCACCUUCAUCCAGCAACUUCCAGCUCAGACCCCACCCCACCCCUCCCCUCACACAAAGACACAAACACACCGUCAACCACUCCACCAGACCAACCAUGACUGACUGACUGACAGACUGAUGAUUGUUACAUGGUAUUUGAAUGAAUGCAUUCGUUUUUUGGUAA
Molecule: long non-coding RNA, 729 nt
Organism: Oncorhynchus tshawytscha (Chinook salmon)
Lineage: Eukaryota; Metazoa; Chordata; Actinopteri; Salmoniformes; Salmonidae
Exons: 3
Source: RefSeq, a predicted model, not a curated record